CCUACGGGGGGCUGCAGUGAGGAAUAUUGGACAAUGGGCGCAAGCCUGAUCCAGCCAUGCCGCGUGCAGGAUGAAGCAUCUAUGGUGUGUAAACUGCUUUUGUACGAGAAGAAACACUCCUUCGUGAAGGGGCUUGACGGUAUCGUAAGAAUAAGGAUCGGCUAACUCCGUGCCAGCAGCCGCGGUAAUACGGAGGAUCCAAGCGUUAUCCGGAAUCAUUGGGUUUAAAGGGUCCGUAGGCGGGCCAGUAAGUCAGUGGUGAAAUCUCCCGGCUCAACCGGGAAAUGGCCAUUGAUACUGCUGGUCUUGAAUUAUUAGGAAGUAACUAGAAUAUGUAGUGUAGCGGUGAAAUGCUUAGAGAUUACAUGGAAUACCAAUUGCGAAGGCAGGUUACUACUAAUGGAUUGACGCUGAUGGACGAAAGCGUGGGUAGCGAACAGGCUUAGAUACCCCGGUAGUC
This 460-nucleotide ribosomal RNA is filed under the name uncultured Flavobacterium sp. RNAcentral describes it as "bacterial SSU rRNA". It matches the Rfam family "Bacterial small subunit ribosomal RNA", at positions 338 to 795 of the family's 1533-position model. Lineage: Bacteria; Pseudomonadati; Bacteroidota; Flavobacteriia; Flavobacteriales; Flavobacteriaceae. The record is from RNAcentral.